Non-coding RNA from Phrynosoma platyrhinos (Desert horned lizard), 71 nucleotides. NCBI's taxonomy places the organism in Eukaryota, Metazoa, Chordata, Lepidosauria, Squamata, Phrynosomatidae. The record is from the annotation of a GenBank genome assembly.
GCCAGCAUGGUGUAGUGGUUUGAACGUUGGAUUAUGACUCUGGAGACCAGGAUUCGAAUCCCAUCUUGGCC